Molecule: ribosomal RNA, 484 nt
Filed under: uncultured bacterium
Lineage: Bacteria
Description: partial 16S ribosomal RNA
Rfam family: Bacterial small subunit ribosomal RNA
Source: RNAcentral
AUUGAACGCUGGCGGCAGGCCUAACACAUGCAAGUCGAGCGGAUGAAGGGAGCUUGCUCCUGGAUUCAGCGGCGGACGGGUGAGUAAUGCCUAGGAAUCUGCCUGGUAGGGGGGGAUAACGUCCGGAAACGGGCGCUAAUACCGCAUACGUCCUGAGGGAGAAAGUGGGGGAUCUUCGGACCUCACGCUAUCAGAUGAGCCUAGGUCGGAUUAGCUAGUUGGUGGGGUAAAGGCCUACCAAGGCGACGAUCCGUAACUGGUCUGAGAGGAUGAUCAGUCACACUGGAACUGAGACACGGUCCAGACUCCUGCGGGAGGCAGCAGUGGGGAAUAUUGGACAAUGGGCGAAAGCCUGAUCCAGCCAUGCCGCGUGUGUGAAGAAGGUCUUCGGAUUGUAAAGCACUUUAAGUUGGGAGGAAGGGCAGUAAGUUAAUACCUUGCUGUUUUGACGUUACCAACAGAAUAAGCACCGGCUAACUUCGUG